This 429-nucleotide ribosomal RNA is filed under the name Actinomycetes bacterium. RNAcentral's name for it is "Actinobacteria bacterium partial 16S ribosomal RNA". It matches the Rfam family "Bacterial small subunit ribosomal RNA", at positions 355 to 776 of the family's 1533-position model. Lineage: Bacteria; Bacillati; Actinomycetota; Actinomycetes. The record is from RNAcentral.
UAGGGAAUCUUCCGCAAUGGGCGAAAGCCUGACGGAGCAACGCCGCGUGAGUGAUGAAGGUCUUCGGUUCGUAAAACUCUGUUAUUAGGGAAGAACAAAUGUGUAAGUAACUAUGCACGUCUUGACGGUACCUAAUCAGAAAGCCACGGCUAACUACGUGCCAGCAGCCGCGGUAAUACGUAGGUGGCAAGCGUUAUCCGGAAUUAUUGGGCGUAAAGCGCGCGUAGGCGGUUUUUUAAGUCUGAUGUGAAAGCCCACGGCUCAACCGUGGAGGGUCAUUGGAAACUGGAAAACUUGAGUGCAGAAGAGGAAAGUGGAAUUCAAUGUGUAGCGGUGAAAUGCGCAGAGAUAUGGAGGAACAACAGUGGCGAAGGCGACUUUCUGGUCUGUAACUGACGCUGAUGUGCGAAAGCGUGGGGAUCAAACAGG